This 377-nucleotide ribosomal RNA is filed under the name uncultured bacterium. Its description in RNAcentral is "bacterial SSU rRNA". It matches the Rfam family "Bacterial small subunit ribosomal RNA", at positions 28 to 399 of the family's 1533-position model. The record is from RNAcentral.
GACGAACGCUGGCGGCGUGCUUAACACAUGCAAGUGGAGCGACGAACCGGGGCUUGCCCCGGGGCAGAGCCGCGAACGGGUGAGUAACACGUGGGUAACCUGCCUCAAUGAUUGGGACAACCCGGGGAAACUCGGGCUAAUACCAAAUGUGUUCACUCCUUCUAAGGGGAGUGAGGAAAGGAAGCUUCGGCCUCCGCAUUGAGAUGGGCCCGCGGCCCAUUAGCUUGUUGGUGAGGUAACGGCUCACCAAGGCUUCGAUGGGUAGCUGGUCUGAGAGGACGAUCAGCCACACUGGGACUGAGACACGGCCCAGACUCCUACGGAGGCAGCAGUGGGGAAUCUUGCACAAUGCGCGAAAGCGUGAUGCAGCAACGCCG